UACGAAGGGUGCUAGCGUUGUUCGGAAUCACUGGGCGUAAAGCGUGCGUAGGCGGCUUUCCAAGUCAGGGGUGAAAUCCUGGGGCUCAACCCCAGAAUUGCCUUUGAAACUGGAAAGCUAGAGUACUGGAGGGGAUAGCGGAAUUCCUAAUGUAGAGGUGAAAUUCGUAGAUAUUAGGAGGAACACCGGUGGCGAAGGCGGCUAUCUGGACAGUAACUGACGCUCUGGCACGAAAGUGCGGGGAUCAAACAGG
RNAcentral lists this ribosomal RNA (253 nucleotides) under uncultured bacterium. Its description in RNAcentral is "partial 16S ribosomal RNA". It matches the Rfam family "Bacterial small subunit ribosomal RNA", at positions 524 to 776 of the family's 1533-position model. The record is from RNAcentral.